UUUGUACAUGAAUUUAUGAAUUUUAUGGGGAUCAUUCACAUUGUACAUGCUUCUCCAUAAAAAUCAUCAUCACCCCCUUAGUCAUAGAUCAUGAACAGUCCCUUACGUAACACAUGUUUUAGAGUUG
Long non-coding RNA from Haliotis rubra (blacklip abalone), 127 nucleotides. RefSeq lists it as uncharacterized. The record is from RefSeq and is a predicted model, not a curated record. The transcript is spliced from 3 exons. Lineage: Eukaryota; Metazoa; Mollusca; Gastropoda; Lepetellida; Haliotidae.